UCAUUAGAUACCCCGGUAGUCCACACGGUAAACGAUGAAUACUCGCUGUUUGCGAUAUACGGCAAGCGGCCAAGCGAAAGCGUUAAGUAUUCCACCUGGGGAGUACGCCGGCAACGGUGAAACUCAAAGGAAUUGACGGGGGCCCGCACAAGCGGAGGAACAUGUGGUUUAAUUCGAUGAUACGCGAGGAACCUUACCCGGGCGAAGGCAGGUCUGGUGACUGGGGUGAAGUCGUAACAAGGUACC
Molecule: ribosomal RNA, 246 nt
Filed under: uncultured bacterium
Lineage: Bacteria
Description: partial 16S ribosomal RNA
Rfam family: Bacterial small subunit ribosomal RNA
Source: RNAcentral